This 853-nucleotide long non-coding RNA is filed under the name Anas platyrhynchos platyrhynchos (common mallard). Its description in RNAcentral is "lncRNA (ENSAPLG00000026878.1)". Lineage: Eukaryota; Metazoa; Chordata; Aves; Anseriformes; Anatidae. The record is from RNAcentral.
GUACAGCAACUGACCCCAUCUGAAGAGGAGGGAGGAAAGGAAAUUUUUUUGCUGUUGGGGAAGCAAAAGGCCUGAGCUGUAAAGCCAGUGGUGAUUUGUCAGACACCCAUGAUGAAGCAGAAAAGUUCCAAGAAAACCCAAGGAUCCAAAAUCUCAAAUGACUGCUCCACAUCAGAAAAAAAAGGAGAAAAAGCAGUCUUCAAAUGUGAUUUGUGCACAUUCACCUCACUCAGCAUAUCAAGUAUUAACCAUCGCAUGAAAAUUCGUUCUGAAGAAAAAUAUCAUGUGUGUCACCUCUGCCUUAAGGCUUUUCAUUCAGCUACUCUCCUGCAUAACCAUGUGAAUGCACAUACAGGAGGUACCUCACAAAAACCUACAUCCAGGUUGUAUGGAGGAGUUUCUUCUCAAAGCCACAAAAAUAGCCCAGAUCUCCAUGAAGCCAUUUCAUCUCUCAAAUUGCUUCGUUCUCAACUCUACUUAAAAACUCCAUCUAGCUAUACAAGGCACUAAAAUAUAUUGACUAAUUAAGUAUAUAUAUAUAUGUUUUUGCAUAUGGAAAAUCAGUUUUUACAUCUUAGUCUGAAAUUGUUCAGUGUUUAGUUGCUGAGCACUUUGUCCUUAUAAUUUAAAGAAAUACAUGUAAUUGCAUUAAUUAGUAAAGUGUAAAUUAACUUUAAGUUUGAGCUAAUCAGCUGAGCAGAUGAUGGUUUUACUGUGCUUAAAACAUUAAAAACUCUUAAAAUUCUAAAUUUGAUUUUAACAAUACCUAAUAUUAUUUUUAGGUUCUGUAACAGUUACAGAACAUUGCAGGUGAUACAAUAAACUGUAAUGUCUCUUAGCUAAUUGAGGUCUU